Arabidopsis lyrata subsp. lyrata is the source of this 576-nucleotide long non-coding RNA. RefSeq lists it as uncharacterized. The record is from RefSeq and is a predicted model, not a curated record. NCBI's taxonomy places the organism in Eukaryota, Viridiplantae, Streptophyta, Magnoliopsida, Brassicales, Brassicaceae. The transcript has 2 exons.
AAUUCCCGUGCUUUCCAUCUACGAUUCUCUCUUCUAUCUCUCUCUUUCUCGCAAAACACAGCAUGCGAAACCGACGAGAUUUCUCAGAAAUUGAAAGCAAACGGAGAAGAAAUCGUUAUCUCCGACUACUCGAUCCAUCCUGAUCAUCAUCUCCACCGACGCGGGACACUCCCUGAAGCAAUCCACGAGUUUCCCUGAAGCAAUCCGCGAGUUUCCCUGAAGCAAUCCGUGACUUUCCUUCACCAAAUCGGCGUGAAACCUUCACAAACUCUUUCUCAUGAAAGACACAGACCCUCUUAGGCGCCACCACCCGCCAUAUACAAGAAAGAGACUCCCCACGUUCUGCCUUGGAGAAUCAUUCCGAGUGAGAAAUGAGUAAGCUGAUUUGACUGUAAAACAUAUUUUGUAGAAAUAUGCUACAGUUGAGUUGGAUAUGUUUUUUGAUAUUAUUUUACUUUCUUUUUCACUUAAAAGUUACAUAGUAAUUAUGAAUGUAAUUGUGAAACUCCCUAAAUUAUGUAGUUGUCCCAGGAUUAAUCAAUGGUUUUACAUAAAGUCUUGAGUAUGAGUUCCAAA